CCCCUUUCAUUCAUUCCGGUAACUCCCUAUAUAUAUUUUGUCGAGCAAUUGACUAUGGCGCUAGAGGGCGCUGCGGAAUAAGCGUAGUGGACCCGGGGGCAGUACCCGGCGCCUCCACCAAUUUCGCCGACAGGCCAGCGUAAAGAUGGUCUCUCGGCACCUCCCUUGAAAGAUAGGGAGGGGUUUUGGGGGCGAAAUAGGAUCGACACGCGUGGUAAAGGCAGAUGUCUGCGUCCGGCAUGGUACCGCCGUAUCGGGCCAAAUCGCUAAAUGCGAACGAUAACGACGAGAUGGUUGCUGUCGCUGUGUAAGCAGUCUCGGUAACAAAGUCGUAAUUCCUAGUGGACUCAUCCUCUUCUAGGUGGGGCCUGGGGGGGCCUAGCAACAGAACCCCCCAUU
This 399-nucleotide transfer-messenger RNA is filed under the name Rhodospirillaceae bacterium. It matches the Rfam family "Alphaproteobacteria transfer-messenger RNA". From Rfam's summary of the family: Bacterial tmRNA, also known as 10Sa RNA or SsrA, is named for its dual tRNA and mRNA-like properties. Its role is to liberate the mRNA from a stalled ribosome. The record is from RNAcentral. Lineage: Bacteria; Pseudomonadati; Pseudomonadota; Alphaproteobacteria; Rhodospirillales; Rhodospirillaceae.